GAACGGGACCUUCGCGGUAGCAAUAUCUAGAAGGUUCAGUGGCGGAAGGGUGAGUAACGCGCGGGUAAUCUACCUCGAAGUUGGGAAUAGCCUGGGGAAACUUGGGAUAAUUCCGAAUGUGGUCGGCCGGUGACAAUCGGCCUAUCUAAAGCUGGGGACCGUAAGGCCUGGCGCUUUGAGAUGAGCCCACGUCCUAUCAGCUAGUUGGUGAGGUAAUGGCUCACCAAGGCUUUGACGGGUAGCUGGUCUGAGGGGAUGGUCAGCCACACUGGGACUGGGACACUGCCCAGACUCCUACGGGAGGCUGCAGUCGAGAAUCAUUCGCAAUGGGCGAAAGCCUGACGAUGCGACGCCGCGUGCAGGACGACGGCCUUCGGGUUGUAAACUGCUGUGAUGGGGGAACAAUUGGCAGGGCAUUAAUAGUGUCUUGUCUUGAUAGUACCCCAAGAGGAAGCCACGGCUAACUCUGUGCCAGCAGCCGCGGUAAUACAGAGGUGGCAAGCGUUGUUCGGAUUUACUGGGCGUAAAGGGUGCGUAGGCGGCAUCAUAUGUCGAAUGUGAAAUCCCACGGAUUAUCUGUGGAACUGCAUACGAAACUGUGGUGCUAGAGGACAGGAGAGGAGGGCGGAAUUCACGGUGUAGCGGUGAAAUGCGUUGAUAUCGUGAAGAACGCCGGUGGCGAAGGCGGCCCUCUGGACUGUAUCUGACGCUGAGGCACGAAAGCUAGGGGAGCAAACAGGAUUAGAUACCCUGGUAGUCCUAGCCGUAAACGGUGUGCACUUGGUGUGGGAGGAAUUAUCCCCUUCCGUGCCGUAGCUAACGCGUUAAGUGCACCGCCUGGGGAGUACGGUCGCAAGACUAAAACUCAAAGAAAUUGACGGGGGCCCGCACAAGCGGUGGAGCAUGUGGCUUAAUUCGAUGCAACGCGAAGAACCUUACCUGGGCUUGACAUGUGACUGGAUGCCGGUUGAAAGAUCGGAGGCCUUCGAGGCUGUCACACAGGUGCUGCAUGGCUGUCGUCAGCUCGUGCCGUGAGGUGUUGGGUUAAGUCCCGCAACGAGCGCAACCCCUGUGAUUAGUUGCUAUCCGCAAGGAAGCACUCUAAUCAGACUGCCUGUGAUAAGCAGGAGGAAGGUGGGGAUGACGUCAAGUCAGUAUGGUCCUUAUGUCCAGGGCUGCACGCGUGCUACAAUGAUCAGUACAGAAGGAAGCAAGACCGCGAGGUGGAGCCAAUCCCCAAAACUGAUCUCAGUUCAGAUUGGAGUCUGAAACUCGACUCCAUGAAGCUGGAAUCGCUAGUAAUGGCGCAUCAGCUACGGCGCCGUGAAUACGUUCCCGGGCCUUGUACACACCGCCCGUCACAUCACGAAAGCCGAUUGCACCCGAAGUGGCUGAUUCAACCCGCAAGGGAGAUAGGUCCCUAAGGUGUGGUUGGUGAUUGGGAUG
RNAcentral lists this ribosomal RNA (1446 nucleotides) under uncultured Planctomycetota bacterium. RNAcentral's name for it is "bacterial SSU rRNA". It matches the Rfam family "Bacterial small subunit ribosomal RNA". Lineage: Bacteria; Pseudomonadati; Planctomycetota. The record is from RNAcentral.